GUGAAUCAUCGAAUUUUUGAACGCAAAUUGCGCUUCCUGGCAUCCCGGGGAGUAUGCCUGUUUGAGGGUCAGUAUUAACAAAAAAAUCGGUUUGGUUGCAAAUUGUGCCGUUUCCGGGGUUUGGGCUAUCUUAACUUUUUUGGUUAAGGGGCUUAAAAUUGACCUUUUUUGCGCAUUUUUAGACGUACAUAAAUUUUUUUUUUUUUCGUUUUUUUUUAUUGCCAAAAUUUUAUUAGAUCCGUUACA
This 246-nucleotide unclassified non-coding RNA is filed under the name Glomeraceae sp. RNAcentral's name for it is "partial contains 5.8S ribosomal RNA and internal transcribed spacer 2". The stretch from base 1 to 71 matches the Rfam family "5.8S ribosomal RNA", at positions 84 to 154 of the family's 154-position model. Lineage: Eukaryota; Fungi; Glomeromycota; Glomeromycetes; Glomerales; Glomeraceae. The record is from RNAcentral.